AUGAUUUAACAUUUCAACUGGGUGAAGAUCAAAUUUACUUUGAAGCUGUUCCAUGCCAGUGAGAUGUCACCAACAUGUAAAUUGUGCUGCAGGUUGAUCAUCCAUGUGAGCAGAGAAGAAACACUACCGAGUAUCGGCCUCUUUUUCCUGCAAAUGAUCUUUUAUUGACAAGUGAUUUAGUGUGAUUAUAUAUCGGAGAAAGCUCUGGUUUUGAUUGCUUGUCUAACUGAAUAUAUUAUUUUUCCAACUGAAUAUUGCUAAUUGUUUUACAAGUUGUUUUUUAUGUUAUUUUCCAUAUGUAAUUUUCAUCUUUAAAGUCCAGACGAAGGAGAUUACCUUUCUUGUUGUCUUUUUUGUUGUUUCUAUGCAGCUUCGCUAAUUGUGAAACUCGUUCAUUGCUAGUUGUUGAUAGGAGGUGAGCUUGUCGUUGGAAAACCUCUGCAGACCUGUAAGUUUUGGUCUUGUCUUGGCAGGUUGAUGGAAUCUAUCCUGGAAAAAUUCCUCACGAGCUUGACCCUCCUGCUGACGUUGCAGAACUGCAAGAAGCAUCUGGAGAAGGGUGCUUGCUUGCAAUUAAUUAGAGGCCAUGGUUAUGGAAAGUGUUACACAGUCAAUACGAUUGUUCUGAGGUUUUCCCUUCUUGUUGUAUUUGUAAUUUUGUAUGUGAAGGAGUAUAAAGAUGUUCUUUUAUUGAUACCAUUUCGAAUAGUC
Molecule: small RNA, 711 nt
Filed under: Malus domestica (apple)
Lineage: Eukaryota; Viridiplantae; Streptophyta; Magnoliopsida; Rosales; Rosaceae
Description: sRNA MD08G0171600
Source: RNAcentral